This 1616-nucleotide ribosomal RNA is filed under the name Salmonella enterica subsp. enterica serovar Enteritidis. RNAcentral's name for it is "partial 23S ribosomal RNA". It matches the Rfam family "Bacterial large subunit ribosomal RNA", at positions 1205 to 2803 of the family's 2925-position model. Lineage: Bacteria; Pseudomonadati; Pseudomonadota; Gammaproteobacteria; Enterobacterales; Enterobacteriaceae. The record is from RNAcentral.
GCAGCGACACUGUGUGUUGUUGGGUAGGGGAGCGUUCUGUAAGCCUGUGAAGGUGUGUCGUGAGGCAUGCUGGAGGUAUCAGAAGUGCGAAUGCUGACAUAAGUAACGAUAAAGCGGGUGAAAAGCCCGCUCGCCGGAAGACCAAGGGUUCCUGUCCAACGUUAAUCGGGGCAGGGUGAGUCGACCCCUAAGGCGAGGCCGAAAGGCGUAGUCGAUGGGAAACGGGUUAAUAUUCCCGUACUUGGUGUUACUGCGAAGGGGGGACGGAGAAGGCUAUGUUGGCCGGGCGACGGUUGUCCCGGUUUAAGCGUGUAGGUGUGUGUUCCAGGUAAAUCCGGUUCACUUUAACACUGAGGCGUGACGACGAGGCACUACGGUGCUGAAGCAACAAAUGCCCUGCUUCCAGGAAAAGCCUCUAAGCAUCAGGUAACAUCAAAUCGUACCCCAAACCGACACAGGUGGUCAGGUAGAGAAUACCAAGGCGCUUGAGAGAACUCGGGUGAAGGAACUAGGCAAAAUGGUGCCGUAACUUCGGGAGAAGGCACGCUGACACGUAGGUGAAGUGAUUUACUCAUGGAGCUGAAGUCAGUCGAAGAUACCAGCUGGCUGCAACUGUUUAUUAAAAACACAGCACUGUGCAAACACGAAAGUGGACGUAUACGGUGUGACGCCUGCCCGGUGCCGGAAGGUUAAUUGAUGGGGUCAGCGCAAGCGAAGCUCCUGAUCGAAGCCCCGGUAAACGGCGGCCGUAACUAUAACGGUCCUAAGGUAGCGAAAUUCCUUGUCGGGUAAGUUCCGACCUGCACGAAUGGCGUAAUGAUGGCCAGGCUGUCUCCACCCGAGACUCAGUGAAAUUGAACUCGCUGUGAAGAUGCAGUGUACCCGCGGCAAGACGGAAAGACCCCGUGAACCUUUACUAUAGCUUGACACUGAACAUUGAGCCUUGAUGUGUAGGAUAGGUGGGAGGCUUUGAAGUGUGGACGCCAGUCUGCAUGGAGCCGACCUUGAAAUACCACCCUUUAAUGUUUGAUGUUCUAACGUGGACCCGUUACCCGGGUUGCGGACAGUGUCUGGUGGGUAGUUUGACUGGGGCGGUCUCCUCCUAAAGAGUAACGGAGGAGCACGAAGGUUGGCUAAUCCUGGUCGGACAUCAGGAGGUUAGUGCAAUGGCAUAAGCCAGCUUGACUGCGAGCGUGACGGCGCGAGCAGGUGCGAAAGCAGGUCAUAGUGAUCCGGUGGUUCUGAAUGGAAGGGCCAUCGCUCAACGGAUAAAAGGUACUCCGGGGAUAACAGGCUGAUACCGCCCAAGAGUUCAUAUCGACGGCGGUGUUUGGCACCUCGAUGUCGGCUCAUCACAUCCUGGGGCUGAAGUAGGUCCCAAGGGUAUGGCUGUUCGCCAUUUAAAGUGGUACGCGAGCUGGGUUUAGAACGUCGUGAGACAGUUCGGUCCCUAUCUGCCGUGGGCGCUGGAGAACUGAGGGGGGCUGCUCCUAGUACGAGAGGACCGGAGUGGACGCAUCACUGGUGUUCGGGUUGUCAUGCCAAUGGCACUGCCCGGUAGCUAAAUGCGGAAGAGAUAAGUGCUGAAAGCAUCUAAGCACGAAACUUGCCCCGAG